This 229-nucleotide ribosomal RNA is filed under the name uncultured bacterium. RNAcentral describes it as "partial 16S ribosomal RNA". It matches the Rfam family "Bacterial small subunit ribosomal RNA", at positions 568 to 796 of the family's 1533-position model. The record is from RNAcentral.
UCCGUAGGCGGGCAAUUAAGUCAGAGGUGAAAUCCCACAGCUCAACUGUGGAACUGCCUUUGAUACUGGUUGUCUUGAGUUACAGUGAAGUAGAUAGAAUAUGUAGUGUAGCGGUGAAAUGCAUAGAUAUUACAUAGAAUACCGAUUGCGAAGGCAGUCUACUAACUGUAUACUGACGCUAAUGGACGAAAGCGUGGGGAGCGGACAGGAUUAGAUACCCUGGUAGUCC